Molecule: long non-coding RNA, 913 nt
Filed under: Capsicum annuum
Lineage: Eukaryota; Viridiplantae; Streptophyta; Magnoliopsida; Solanales; Solanaceae
Description: long non-coding RNA (CANN_LNC018355)
Source: RNAcentral
UGAUGAUGAUGUGAUAUAUAUAUGGAUCAUGAAAGAUCAAUAUAUACCAAUCUUCCUUAAUUACGAUGACUACUUGAUAUCCAUUACAUCAUUUAUUCAUAAAUAUAUAAAUAUAUGCACGGAUAGUCACUUAUUCUUUAUCUUACAAUAAAAGUGACAUAAAUAUCAUACACAUAAGAGAUCUUGAUAAAGCAACUCAGUGCACUAAAAUUCUCAUUAUACAUCGAGUAUAUGUGAAGUCUUCAAAUCGAUUAUUUCCUCAAAAUCCUGCAGGGCAGCCUUUCCCUGUUCCAACCAUAGCGCAAGUUUUACAAAUUUUAUGUGGUCCACAAUCCUCAUUAGUUGUACAACGAUGCCGACACUUUGACAUUGGGUGUAAAAUCAGCUCAAACACUUCAAAUUCAAGAGGUAGAUCUUGCACAACCAUCAUUUCGAUGUUUAAUGUAUGAACUGUAAGGAUAACAUCGGUGCACAAAGAAUUAUGAAAAAAAUCACAUAUACAACGUAAUCAUCAAUCAAACUAUUGGAAAAAAAUACAGUGAUAUAAUUAAACUAAUACAUACAAAAAAAAAAAAACCUAAAAUUUAGGACGAACUAAUUUUGUAGCCAAACAACAAAAUUUCUUUCAUCAGUUGUACUUAACAAAGGGAUAGUUAAUACAUGUUAGCUACGAGCAACAUAGUAGAAUAAUAUAUUAGUAACGAAAUACAAAGCUACUUAUUUUUAGUGAAGAAAGAUACACUAUUAUAUACUAGUGUUUGACUAAAUUAAGAGUGAUGAAGUAACUGACCAGCUAGUAGCACUCCUACAAAGAGAGCCAAAAAAGCUAGCUAGAUUAUGUGAUUGAAACAUCCUAGCCAUUUUAACACAAUUUGGAGUAGAUAUUUUUUUUUUAUAAUGAAAAGAACUAAUU